UCCUACGGGGGGCAGCAGUGGGGAAUAUUGCGCAAUGGGCGAAAGCCUGACGCAGCGACGCCUCGUGAGGGAUGAAGGUCUUCGGAUCGUAAACCUCUGUCAAGAGGGAAGAAACCUUUGGAUUCGAACAGGGUCCUUAGCUGACGGUACCUCUAAAGGAAGCACCGGCUAACUCCGUGCCAGCAGCCGCGGUAAUACGGAGGGUGCAAGCGUUAAUCGGAAUCACUGGGCGUAAAGCGCUCGUAGGCGGUUUGGUCAGUCAGACGUGAAAUCCCGCAGCUUAACUGCGGAACUGCGUUUGAUACUGCCAGACUUGAGUGUCGGAGAGGGUGGCGGAAUUCCGGGUGUAGGAGUGAAAUCCGUAGAUAUCCGGAGGAACACCAGUGGCGAAGGCGGCCACCUGGACGACAACUGACGCUGAGGAGCGAAAGCGUGGGUAGCAAACAGGAUUAGAUACCCCUGUAGUCCA
Molecule: ribosomal RNA, 469 nt
Filed under: uncultured bacterium
Lineage: Bacteria
Description: bacterial SSU rRNA
Rfam family: Bacterial small subunit ribosomal RNA
Source: RNAcentral